CUACAAGCAACCUUCAGAAACGAUGUGAUGUGAAUGCUCAAAUUAAACAAACACACAGAUACAAGUGAGAAAAGACCCAGGAGUUCUUUGACAAGCUAAUACGUGCAUCAGGACUGAGAUGCUGAGGAGUUCCACCAAUUGAAGAC
Long non-coding RNA from Megalobrama amblycephala (Wuchang bream), 146 nucleotides. RefSeq lists it as uncharacterized. The record is from RefSeq and is a predicted model, not a curated record. The transcript is spliced from 3 exons. Lineage: Eukaryota; Metazoa; Chordata; Actinopteri; Cypriniformes; Xenocyprididae.